Molecule: ribosomal RNA, 301 nt
Filed under: uncultured bacterium
Lineage: Bacteria
Description: partial 16S ribosomal RNA
Rfam family: Bacterial small subunit ribosomal RNA
Source: RNAcentral
CAGCCGCCACGGUAAUACGGAGGGUGCAAGCGUUAAUCGGAAUUACUGGGCGUAAAGCGUGCGUAGGUGAUGGUUUAAGUCCGUUGUGAAAGCCCUGGGCUCAACCUGGGAAUUGCAGUGGAUACUGGGUCACUAGAGUGUGGUAGAGGAUAGUGGAAUUUCCGGUGUAGCAGUGAAAUGCGUAGAGAUCGGAAGGAACAUCUGUGGCGAAGGCGACUAUCUGGGCCAACACUGACACUGGGGCACGAAAGCGUGGGGAGCAAACAGGAUUAGAUACCCCUGUAGUCCCUGUCUCUUAUAA